AACAAAACUAUCGGAUGAGAGAUGAGAGUUUGCGAUAAUCUUCAUUUUAGAAUUUAACAAAUGAGGAGUCACAGACUUGAUUUUUCGCUCGAUUGUUCGACA
Molecule: non-coding RNA, 102 nt
Organism: Tribolium castaneum (red flour beetle)
Lineage: Eukaryota; Metazoa; Arthropoda; Insecta; Coleoptera; Tenebrionidae
Source: RefSeq, marked provisional